Molecule: ribosomal RNA, 497 nt
Filed under: uncultured bacterium
Lineage: Bacteria
Description: partial 16S ribosomal RNA
Rfam family: Bacterial small subunit ribosomal RNA
Source: RNAcentral
GAUGAACGCUGGCGGCGUGCCUAAUACAUGCAAGUCGAGCGAACAGAUGAGGAGCUUGCUCCUCUGACGUUAGCGGCGGACGGGUGAGUAACACGUGGAUAACCUACCUAUAAGACUGGGAUAACUUCGGGAAACCGGAGCUAAUACCGGAUAAUAUAUUGAACCGCAUGGUUCAAUAGUGAAAGACGGUUUUGCUGUCACUUAUAGAUGGAUCCGCGCCGCAUUAGCUAGUUGGUAAGGUAACGGCUUACCAAGGCAACGAUGCGUAGCCGACCGGAGAGGGUGAUCGGCCACACUGGAACUGAGACACGGUCCAGACUCCUACGGGAGGCAGCAGUAGGGAAUCUUCCGCAAUGGGCGAAAGCCUGACGGAGCAACGCCGCGUGAGUGAUGAAGGUCUUCGGAUCGUAAAACUCUGUUAUUAGGGAAGAACAAAUGUGUAAGUAACUAUGCACGUCUUGACGGUACCUAAACAGAAAGCCACGGCUAACUACGUG